GACGGAAGGUGCAAGCGUUGCUCGGAAUCACUGGGCGUAAAGGGUGCGUAGGCGGCCGUGCAAGUCUGGCGUGAAAGCCCCGGGCUCAGCCCGGGAAGUGCGCUCGAAACUGCGCGGCUCGAGUGCCGGAGGGGAGAGUGGAAUUCCUGGUGUAGCGGUGAAAUGCGUAGAUAUCAGGAGGAAUACCGGUGGCGAAAGCGGGUCUCUGGGCAACAACUGACGCUGAGGAGCGAAAGCGUGGGGAGCGAACAGG
Molecule: ribosomal RNA, 253 nt
Filed under: uncultured bacterium
Lineage: Bacteria
Description: partial 16S ribosomal RNA
Rfam family: Bacterial small subunit ribosomal RNA
Source: RNAcentral